GACGAACGCUGGCGGCGUGCUUAACACAUGCAAGUCGAACGAUGAAGCCCAGCUUGCUGGGUGGAAGAGUGGCGAACGGGUGAGUAACACGUGAGUAACCUGCCCUGAACUCUGGGAUAAGCACUGGAAACGGUGUCUAAUACUGGAUACGACCUAUCACCGCAUGGUGUGUGGGUGGAAAGAUUUAUCGAUUUUGGAUGGACUCGCGGCCUAUCAGCUAGAUGGUGAGGUAAUGGCUCACCAUGGCGACGACGGGUAGCCGGCCUGAGAGGGUGACCGGCCACACUGGGACUGAGACACGGCCCAGACUCCUACGGGAGGCAGCAGUGGGGAAUAUUGCACAAUGGGCGCAAGCCUGAUGCAGCAACGCCGCGUGAGGGAUGACGGCCUUCGGGUUGUAAACCUCUUUUAGUAGGGAAGAAGCGAAAGUGACGGUACCUGCAGAAAAAGCACCGGCUAACUACGUGCCAGCAGCCGCGGUAAUACGUAGGGUGCAAGCGUUGUCCGGAAUUAUUGGGCGUAAAGAGCUCGUAGGCAGCUUGUCGCGUCUGCUGUGAAAUCCCGGGGCUCAACCCCGGGCCUGCAGUGGGUACGGGCAAGCUAGAGUGCGGUAGGGGAGAUUGGAAUUCCUGGUGUAGCAGUGGAAUGCGCAGAUAUCAGGAGGAACACCGAUGGCGAAAGGCAGAUCUCUGGGCCGCUACUGACGCUGAGGAGCGAAAGCAUGGGGAGCGAACAGGAUUAGAUACCCUGG
This 751-nucleotide ribosomal RNA is filed under the name uncultured bacterium. RNAcentral describes it as "bacterial SSU rRNA". It matches the Rfam family "Bacterial small subunit ribosomal RNA", at positions 28 to 790 of the family's 1533-position model. The record is from RNAcentral.